GACGGGUGAGUAACACGUGAGCAACCUGCCCGAAAGUGAGGAAUAGCCCGGGGAAACUCGGAUUAAUACCGCAUAUGAUUCUGCAAGGCAUCUUGUGGCAAUCAAAGCUGGGGAUCGUAAGACCUGGCGCUUUCGGAUGGGCUCGCGGCCUAUCAGCUUGUUGGUAAGGUAACGGCUUACCAAGGCUACGACGGGUAACUGGUCUGAGAGGACGACCAGUCACACUGGAACUGAGACACGGUCCAGACACC
RNAcentral lists this ribosomal RNA (251 nucleotides) under uncultured bacterium. RNAcentral's name for it is "partial 16S ribosomal RNA". It matches the Rfam family "Bacterial small subunit ribosomal RNA", at positions 102 to 339 of the family's 1533-position model. The record is from RNAcentral.